This 406-nucleotide ribosomal RNA is filed under the name uncultured bacterium. Its description in RNAcentral is "partial 16S ribosomal RNA". It matches the Rfam family "Bacterial small subunit ribosomal RNA", at positions 30 to 526 of the family's 1533-position model. The record is from RNAcentral.
AUUGAACGCUGGCGGCAGGCUUAACACAUGCAAGUCGAGCGAGCGGCGGACAGGUGAGUAAUGUCUGGGAAACUGCCUGAUGGAGGGGGAUAAAUACUGGAAACGGUAGCUAAUACCGCAUACCAUCAGAUGUGCCAAGGUGGGAUUAGCUAGUAGGUGGGGUAAUGGCUCACCUAGGCGACGAUCCCUAGCGGGUCUGAGAGGAUGACCAGCCACACUGGACAUGAGACACGGUACAGACUCCUACGGGAGGCAGCAGUGGGGAAUAUUGCACAAUUGGCGCAAGCCUGAUGCAGCCAUGCCGCGUGUGUGAAGAAGGCCUUCGGGUUGUAAAGUACUUUCAGCGAGGAGGCGUUACUCGCAGAAGAGGCACCGGCUAACUCCGUGCCAGCAGCCGCGGUAAUUC